Molecule: long non-coding RNA, 799 nt
Organism: Medicago truncatula (barrel medic)
Lineage: Eukaryota; Viridiplantae; Streptophyta; Magnoliopsida; Fabales; Fabaceae
Exons: 2
Source: RefSeq, a predicted model, not a curated record
UUUCAAAUUCCCUUUACUUACUUGUUACCUAAGUAAUGGAAUCUCAUCUCCAUAUGCUAACUAUCCCAUGUGCAAUUGGUUUUUUUUGCUAUAUUACUUGUUGGUAUCUUAUCAACUUUGAUUGUCACGACAUUGCACUUCACUUCACAAGUUCUUCCACGAGAUUCCUUAACCAUAUUGCUUGAAAAACACUUAAGAGGUGUUGAAAUACACACAACUUCAAAAAAUGUUAGAGCUACCAUGACUUCCUUAAUCGAACACCAGUAGAUCGGUGCUCCUCCAAGCAUGAAGAUGUAACCAGCUAUAAAUUUCCUAUCAUUCUUUUUCAGUGGCCGUCUAGAGGGUGUGCGAAAGGAGCAACUGCACAUGGCUCUAAAUUCUAGGGGACACACAUCAGUGAACACCACCUCAUGUUGGGAUUUGGUUUUGCUUCCUGCAUCUUUGCUGAAGUUUCAUCAGUUGCCAAGCAUUUAUGAUCCGUCACAUCAAGGCCUGUCUUGGAUGUUUUAUUCCUUAACAUAUGUGCUUUCAGAAUCAAUCUUCCUUAACAUACUUAAGCUUGCAAGGUUUUCCUCUUCUUCUUGUGGAUCUUUCUUACUGGAAGAUUAGGUGAGAAUGCAAUGUAAAGUUUGGGACAGAUUUAGGAACUUUCUUAAUGUAAAGUUUCAUUAGUAAGAUAGUUUCUUAUCUUGGAAUAUAAGAUUAGGAAUGGAUUAUAUGCUUUUGACUUUAUAAAACUGCAAAUUCCUUAUUAUGUUGCAUUUGUUUUCUCUCCUAAUUAUGAUCAAGCUUUCUAUUA